This 465-nucleotide ribosomal RNA is filed under the name uncultured bacterium. Its description in RNAcentral is "partial 16S ribosomal RNA". It matches the Rfam family "Bacterial small subunit ribosomal RNA", at positions 28 to 507 of the family's 1533-position model. The record is from RNAcentral.
GACGAACGCUGGCGGCGUGCUUAACACAUGCAAGUCGAACGGUAAGGCCCCUUCGGGGGUACACGAGUGGCGAACGGGUGCGUAACACGUGAGCAACCUGCCCUUGACUCUGGAAUAACAGUUGGAAACAGCUGCUAAUACUGGAUAUUCAUCGUCUCCUUCCUGGGGGGUGGUGGGAAGCUCCGGCGGUCAGGGAUGGGCUCGCGGCCUAUCAGCUUGUUGGUGAGGUAAUGGCUCACCAAGGCUUCGACGGGUAGCCGGCCUGAGAGGGCGACCGGCCACACUGGGACUGAGAUACGGCCCAGACUCCUACGGGAGGCAGCAGUGGGGAAUAUUGCACAAUGGGCGCAAGCCUGAUGCAGCAACGCCGCGUGCGGGAUGACGGCCUUCGGGUUGUAAACCGCUUUCAGUAGGGACGAAGGGUGACUGACGGUACCUACAGAAGAAGGACCGGCUAACUACGUG